This 465-nucleotide ribosomal RNA is filed under the name Vreelandella stevensii. Its description in RNAcentral is "partial 16S ribosomal RNA". It matches the Rfam family "Bacterial small subunit ribosomal RNA", at positions 338 to 795 of the family's 1533-position model. Lineage: Bacteria; Pseudomonadati; Pseudomonadota; Gammaproteobacteria; Oceanospirillales; Halomonadaceae. The record is from RNAcentral.
CCUACGGGGGGCUGCAGUGGGGAAUAUUGGACAAUGGGGGCAACCCUGAUCCAGCCAUGCCGCGUGUGUGAAGAAGGCCCUCGGGUUGUAAAGCACUUUCAGUGAGGAAGAACGCCUGGUGGUUAAUACCCAUCAGGAAAGACAUCACUCACAGAAGAAGCACCGGCUAACUCCGUGCCAGCAGCCGCGGUAAUACGGAGGGUGCGAGCGUUAAUCGGAAUUACUGGGCGUAAAGCGCGCGUAGGUGGCUUGAUAAGCCGGUUGUGAAAGCCCCGGGCUCAACCUGGGAACGGCAUCCGGAACUGUCAAGCUAGAGUGCAGGAGAGGAAGGUAGAAUUACCGGUGUAGCGGUGAAAUGCGUAGAGAUCGGGAGGAAUACCAGUGGCGAAGGCGGCCUUCUGGACUGACACUGACACUGAGGUGCGAAAGCGUGGGUAGCAAACAGGAUUAGAUACCCCGGUAGUC